AGUGAACGCUGGCGGUAGGCCUAACACAUGCAAGUCGAACGGCAGCACAGUAAGAGCUUGCUCUUACGGGUGGCGAGUGGCGGACGGGUGAGGAAUACAUCGGAAUCUACUUUUUCGUGGGGGAUAACGUAGGGAAACUUACGCUAAUACCGCAUACGACCUACGGGUGAAAGCAGGGGAUCUUCGGACCUUGCGCGAUUGAAUGAGCCGAUGUCGGAUUAGCUAGUUGGCGGGGUAAAGGCCCACCAAGGCGACGAUCCGUAGCUGGUCUGAGAGGAUGAUCAGCCACACUGGAACUGAGACACGGUCCAGACUCCUACGGGAGGCAGCAGUGGGGAAUAGUGGACAAUGGGCGCAAGCCUGAUCCAGCCAUACCGCGUGGGUGAAGAAGGCCGUCGGGUUGGAAAGCCCUUUUGUUGGGAAAGAAAAGCAGCAGGUUAAUACCCCGCUGUUCUGACGGUACCCAAAGAAUAAGCACCGGCUAACUUCG
This 490-nucleotide ribosomal RNA is filed under the name uncultured bacterium. Its description in RNAcentral is "partial 16S ribosomal RNA". It matches the Rfam family "Bacterial small subunit ribosomal RNA", at positions 29 to 505 of the family's 1533-position model. The record is from RNAcentral.